ACAUUGAAACAACAGUUCUCGUAUGAUCACCGAAGUUAAGCAGUGUCGAGCCUGGCUAAUACCUAGAUGGGUCACCGGUUGCGAAUAACAGAUGUUGCAAG
This is a non-coding RNA of Acanthosepion pharaonis, 101 nucleotides long. Lineage: Eukaryota; Metazoa; Mollusca; Cephalopoda; Sepiida; Sepiidae. The record is from the annotation of a GenBank genome assembly.